AUUGAACGCUGGCGGCAGGCCUAACACAUGCAAGUCGAGCGGAUGAAGGGAGCUUGCUCCUGGAUUCAGCGGCGGACGGGUGAGUAAUGCCUAGGAAUCUGCCUGGUAGUGGGGGAUAACGUCCGGAAACGGGCGCUAAUACCGCAUACGUCCUGAGGGAGAAAGUGGGGGAUCUUCGGACCUCACGCUAUCAGAUGAGCCUAGGUCGGCUUAGCUAGUUGGUGGGGUAAAGGCCUACCCAGGCGACGAUCCGUAACUGGUCUGAGAGGAUGAUCAGUCACACUGGAACUGAGACACGGUCCCGACUCCUACGGGAGGCAGCAGUGGGGAAUAUUGGACCAUGCGCGAAAGCCUGAUCCAGCCAUGCCGCGUGUGUGAAGAAGGUCUUCGGAUUGUAAAGCACUUUAAGUUGGGAGGAAGGGCAGUAAGUUAAUACCUUGCUGUUUUGACGUUACCCACAGAAUAAGCACCGGCUAACUUCGUG
This 484-nucleotide ribosomal RNA is filed under the name uncultured bacterium. Its description in RNAcentral is "partial 16S ribosomal RNA". It matches the Rfam family "Bacterial small subunit ribosomal RNA", at positions 30 to 507 of the family's 1533-position model. The record is from RNAcentral.